AAAGAAAAAACAAAUACAUUUUUAUUACAACAUGCAUGGUCAUAUCUUAGAACAAGUUCAAUCUGCAAAAUAUUUAGGCAUUACACUUUCUUCAGACCUCAAAUGGAACAAACAUAUUCAACAAUCAGCAGCAAAAGCAAACCAAUCAUUAGCAUUCAUCAGACGUAAUCUAAAAAUAAAUUCUAAAUUAGUUAAGGAAAGAGCCUACCAAACAAUAGUUAGACCAAAACUAGAAUACUGCUGUACAGUUUGGGAUCCAUACACCUCAGAAAAUAUAUAUAAGUUGGAACAAGUACAAAGAAGAGCUGCAAGAUAUACUUACAACAGAUAUCACAAUACCAGCAGUGUAUCUGAAAUGAUAGAACAUCUAAAAUGGCAAUCCUUACAAGAACGCAGACUAAAAACCAGACUCCAAAUGUUGCACAAAGUCAUCAACAAUGAAAUUGCAAUACCAUCGCAAGAUAUACUCAUAAAAAGCCAGUCUAAAACAAGAACUACCCAUCAACAGACAUACAGACA
Molecule: long non-coding RNA, 519 nt
Filed under: Mytilus galloprovincialis (Mediterranean mussel)
Lineage: Eukaryota; Metazoa; Mollusca; Bivalvia; Mytilida; Mytilidae
Source: RNAcentral